This 515-nucleotide ribosomal RNA is filed under the name uncultured bacterium. RNAcentral describes it as "partial 16S ribosomal RNA". It matches the Rfam family "Bacterial small subunit ribosomal RNA", at positions 28 to 523 of the family's 1533-position model. The record is from RNAcentral.
GAUGAACGCUGGCGGCGUGCCUAAUACAUGCAAGUCGAGCGAAUGGAUUAAGAGCUUGCUCUUAUGAAGUUAGCGGCGGACGGGUGAGUAACACGUGGGUAACCUGCCCAUAAGACUGGGAUAACUCCGGGAAACCGGGGCUAAUACCGGAUAACAUUUUGAACCGCAUGGUUCGAAAUUGAAAGGCGGCUUCGGCGGUCACUUAUGGAUGGACCCGCGUCGCAUUAGCUAGUUGGUGAGGUAACGGCUCACCGAGGCAACGAUGCGUAGCCGACCUGGGAGGGUGAUCGGCCACACUGGGACUGAGACACGGCCCAGACUCCUACGGGAGGCAGCAGUAGGGAAUCUUCCGCAAUGGACGAAAGUCUGACGGAGCAACGCCGCGUGAGUGAUGAAGGCUUUCGGGUCGUAAAACUCUGUUGUUAGGGAAGAACAAGUGCUAGUUGAAUAAGCUGGCACCUUGACGGUACCUAACCAGAAAGCCACGGCUAACUACGUGCCAGCAGCCGCCGUAA